CAAAAUCACUAAGCCCAGGGCCCUCUGUUACUUAGAUCUCCCCAAUUUAUAAAUUAUAGGAUUAGGGUUUAUUUCAUUUCUCAAAAUUCGAACAACGCAAAAAAUCAAAAGCAUCAAAGGAAAAGAAAAUGGCACUGAGGAGGUUUUACAACGAGAUUAAGGGAUUGAAAGUGAAGGAGGUCCCAAAUCAUGUGAAGCCUAUGCUAUCACUCGAUUACUUGAAGAAAUCGGUGGGGAGAGCUUUGGACAAUUACAACGAAAAGUACAUACAAACAGGCUCCAUCGAUCCUCUCUAUCAUGUCUGCUUCGGUGGCAUGAUCUUUUCCUACCUCGUUGCUCUUCCCGAGGAGCGCCGCCACCUCGAGCAUCAGCAGCAUGCCAAGGAGCACGGCCACUGAUUGAUGAUUCUUUGCUCUCCCCACGCAGGUAUUCCGUGAUUCUAUUUUGCUAGGAUCUGGUGGACCUCCUGGGGGUUGAUUUCACAAUCAUUGGUUUGCUUGAUGUUUUAAUUUUGUGUCUCUGGAUAUUUUAGGCAAGAAGAUACUGUCUUCACAAAGCGUUGCAUGAAGUGAUGAAAUAAAGUAACACUUGGCCAUAAAUAUUGAGCAUAAUAUUUUUCUUACUUAUUAAUGUCAUCUGGGUGGUUAUCAGCUUUGUUUUAUUUGUUCGACAUGCACUUGCAAUCUUAUUUUUGCGGUGGAUUUAUAUAUAUUUGCUAUUUUAGGACUCA
Molecule: RNA transcript, 730 nt
Organism: Ricinus communis (castor bean)
Lineage: Eukaryota; Viridiplantae; Streptophyta; Magnoliopsida; Malpighiales; Euphorbiaceae
Exons: 2
Source: RefSeq, a predicted model, not a curated record